AGCUUUGCACAGUGGGCAAUAUCAUAGCCAAUGAGGUUUACCCGAGGCUCAAUUAUUGCUAAUUGAAAACUUUCCCCAAUACCCUGCCAUGACGACUUGAAGUAGAGUCGGCACUGGCAAUUUUUGACGGUCUCCACGGAGA
This is a small nuclear RNA of Echinops telfairi (small Madagascar hedgehog), 142 nucleotides long. RefSeq annotates it as U4 spliceosomal RNA. NCBI's taxonomy places the organism in Eukaryota, Metazoa, Chordata, Mammalia, Afrosoricida, Tenrecidae. The record is from RefSeq and is a predicted model, not a curated record. The transcript has a single exon.